AUGGGAUUCCGGGACCUCCGCUUAUUUAAUCAAGCCCUCCUGGCGAAGCAGGCUUGGCGGCUUAUCCAAUUUCCGGACAGCUUAUGUGCGAGACUGCUAAAGGCAAAAUAUUACCCACAUGGCAAUCCUGCUGAUACUGCUUUUAUCCAGAACGCGUCACCGUGCUGGCAAGGAAUCUGUCAUGGUUUGGAUCUCCUUAAGAAAGGCAUCGUUUGGAGGAUUGGUGUAGGUGAUAAAGUCAGAGUGUGGAGAGAUAAUUGGAUCCCAAGGGGAAAUUUAAAAAUCACUAGGAAACAAUCUCAUACUAGGAUAAAGUGGGUCUUCGAGCUGAUCGAUCCAGUGACAAGGACAUGGAAUGAGGAACUGAUUAGGAAAAUAUUACUACCUCAUGAUGUUGACGAAGUGCUAAAAAUUCGCCUCCCACAGUCUACCUCUGAGGAUUUUAUAGCAUGGCACUUUGAACGCUCAAGUGUCUUUUCGGUUCGCAGUGCGUACAGGCUAGCCGUUAAUGACAAGGAGGCGAAUCGAGAUUUGGGACAAAGCAGUACGACGCCAACUAGAGAAAGAAAGAUUUGGAGCGUGCUUUGGAAAGCAAAUGUUCCUCCCAAGAUUAGAAAUUUUGGGUGGCGACUGGCGACGGAAUCACUCGGAGUCCAGACAAGUAGACAUAAGAGAGGGAUGGAGCUAUUCCCUACAUGCUCUAUCUGUGGGAUGGAACCAGAAGAUGGAUAUCACGCAGUCAUGAGAUGCACAAAAGCUAAAGCCCUGCGUGACACCAUGCGUGAGGUCUGGAACCUUCUCCGGGACACUGAUCUCACAUGUACGGGGCGUGAGUGGGUCCUUCUAACUCUUGAUAAGGCGAAUGAGGAGGAGCGUACACACCUCCUUUUCAUCUGGUGGCGAGCAUGGCACCUUAGAAAUAACAUUAUAUUUGGUGACGGGAAAGAUACAAUAAAGGCAUCAGCAGAAUUCCUAGAAAGUUAUGCUAGCUCCUAUGCGGCGAUCAGAGCGGGACAGUCGCUACCUGACUUUAAAGGAAAAGAAAAAGUGAUGCCAGACAUUUCAUUCCGUGAGACUAAACAGAGAGUUGCAGAUUAUCAAUGGGCCAGACCUAACUCAGGUUGGCUCAAACUAAAUGUUGAUGCAAGCUUUAUUCAGGAGACAAACCAUGGAGCUUGGGGGGCUGUUCUACGAGAUACAAAUGGGGCGGUGAUUGGAUCUGCUUGGAACACAAUCACUAACUGCGCUAGUGCUGAGGCGGCCGAAGCUGAAGCCUGUCUUGAAGGAAUUCGAGAUACCAUGCAGUUCAUAGACCGGCCAGUAGUUAUUGAGAGCGACCGUGUGAAUGUCAUCCAACAAAUUUCUUCAAAGGACUUUAAUAGAUCUCCCAUUGGUAGCUUGUGUAGGGAAAUUCAGAGUUUGCUGGGCCAACUCCCUGAUUUUACUAUUGCUAAGAUCUCUAGAAAUGGCAAUAGGGUUGCCCACGCUCUCGCUAGUUUUGGUAGGAGUGGUGUGAGUAAGGGUGUGUUGAUCGGUUCAGUUCCAGCCUGCGUGUUGCGACUGGUCGAUGAUGAUUGUAAUGAACCUAUGUUGAUUAUUUAA
RNAcentral lists this ribosomal RNA (1602 nucleotides) under Triticum aestivum (bread wheat). RNAcentral's name for it is "partial small subunit ribosomal RNA". Lineage: Eukaryota; Viridiplantae; Streptophyta; Magnoliopsida; Poales; Poaceae. The record is from RNAcentral.